Molecule: ribosomal RNA, 427 nt
Filed under: uncultured bacterium
Lineage: Bacteria
Description: bacterial SSU rRNA
Rfam family: Bacterial small subunit ribosomal RNA
Source: RNAcentral
UGGGGAAUUUUGGACAAUGGGCGAAAGCCUGAUCCAGCAAUGCCGCGUGUGCGAAGAAGGCCUUCGGGUUGUAAAGCACUUUUGUCCGGAAAGAAAUCCGCCUGGCUAAUACCCGGACGGGAUGACGGUACCGGAAGAAUAAGCACCGGCUAACUACGUGCCAGCAGCCGCGGUAAUACGUAGGGUGCGAGCGUUAAUCGGAAUUACUGGGCGUAAAGCGUGCGCAGGCGGCUUUGUAAGACAGAUGUGAAAUCCCCGGGCUCAACCUGGGAACUGCAUUUGUGACUGCAAGGCUAGAGUGCGUCAGAGGGAGGUGGAAUUCCGCGUGUAGCAGUGAAAUGCGUAGAGAUGCGGAGGAACACCGAUGGCGAAGGCAGCCUCCUGGGAUGACACUGACGCUCAUGCACGAAAGCGUGGGGAGCAAACA